UUUGCAUGUAUUUUGCGAGAUAAAUCUUUAGAGCUUAGUUAGUCCAAACACAAACAAAAGUGCUAUAGUAUCUAAAUCCAAAAAAGUUUGGAUCUAAACAAGGCCUAAUAUACAAAUGUACCUUGCAUAUGUUUAUUGGUUCAGUAAUAUCGAUAGGUUUGUAGUGAACGUGCAAGUCAUACAAACCUAAGAGAAAUGUACCCGUACUACUACUAUGUGUCUGACAACAUGAACAACGGCUUGAUCCUGCUGGUCUAUGUGUUGUUUCGGCUGCCGUUGCACAAGAACAUGAAGGUCAUGCACGCCAGUGCAUGCCACCUGCUUUUGCAACAACAUACCUCAAUGUGGCAGCCAGUCCAUGCUUCAUUACCUCGGAGUGGGUCGGCAGCUGCAUGCACUUGGCAGUUGACAGAGACGAAGGUCUAAUCGGAAGGAGCUAGAUGAGUUUCCCGCAGCAUGCAAGGCAUCGACACCCAGUGGGAUCGGUAGAGCACCACUCAAGCGAGGGCGUAUUAGGAGCAUGUGUAAGGAAAGUACCACAACAACACAAUUAAGUUUGUAAAUAAAAUUUUACUAAUCUACUUGCAUAAAAUUAGAAGUUCCUACAAGUACCACAUAUUUCCAAGCCACCAUAAUAAAGUUUAAGGG
RNAcentral lists this long non-coding RNA (648 nucleotides) under Sorghum bicolor (sorghum). RNAcentral's name for it is "long non-coding RNA (SBIC_LNC014900)". The record is from RNAcentral. Lineage: Eukaryota; Viridiplantae; Streptophyta; Magnoliopsida; Poales; Poaceae.